CCUUGAUGUUUAUGACCACUGGUAGCAAAAUUUGUCCUAAAAGAAGACGAAUCAAACCAUAUGAAUAUUUCAUCAGAUUACUUGCUCUUCAUUUAAUGAUUUCAUCUUCUGUAUAUUAAUCUGUCCAUAACUAGCCAUAUUAGCAUAUAAUUACUAAAAUUGUUAAACCAUCUAACCUGCUAACUCAUGAGACCAGUUAUUUUUCCCCAACCCAUAUGCAACAACAACAAUGACAUACCUAGUGUAAUCCCACGAGUGGGGUUUGAGGAGGGUGAGAUAUACGCAACCUUUUACCCCUACUUUUUCUGAUACUCUUGGUACGACAAUGUAUUACCAAUUUUCUCAACCCAUAUAUUGAACUUAAAUCAAUUUCAACCUAUUUUAGGAUUUUCUCGACUACCACUCUGCCUAUACCAUCAACAGGCAGAAAUACCCCAUUUCGCAAGUUUCCGACUAUAGCAUAAGAAAAUACAGUAACUAAGAAAUUUGAAGAGAAGUUAACUUUGCAUAAAUGGAAGAAGAUUCUUCUCUUCCUCCCAUUCUUACAUCAGUAAUAUCAAAUAUAAGGUAAUUGUAGGUCAUACGAGGAAAGACCAAAAUUUGGAUAGACCUGAUAUCAUCAAAUCUUGAAAAAAAUGCCGCCUUUGGUAAAACUAAGCAUCUUCCAAGUAGGAAAAAAAAAAGAUCACCAGAUAAAGGACCCAUUUUGGCUUUGAUUGUCAUAUGAAAGAGAAACCAUUAGGAAUCUAUUCAAUUGAAACAACAAUUACCAUGUCUUAUAAAAUCUUGUAGAUUACUAUUCUAUUUGACCAGUUUCAUUCCUAUAUUCAAUACUUCAGUGUUUUUCUACUCAUGUUCAAGUCUCAGACUUGAAAAACUCCCAACACUGGACAUAAUGUCAGAACACCAGCAAAGAUAAAAUUGAUGGUAAAACAUUACUCCCGUCGUCCAGUGUUUAUACCAAACCAAUUAAUGCAUCCAAUGGCAUAGCUAAGGUCCCUUGGCUUCUUCAUGGGUUUACUACUUUACAUUUUGACACUCCUUAACGAAAAUUCUAACUCGCCACUGAAUGCAUCAUCAUCACAUAUGUUAGAACAUAUACAACUAUCACUUAACUAAACUAUGAUAUAUAAUAAGAUCCGGAGCAGAUAAAUAUUUUACCAAAAUUGAUACUCAAAAAUAUUGUGUUACCUUGGAAUUUAAGUCAACACAACCCUUAAAAAGAGCAAGAAUCUCAGAUCCAUUGCCUCUAACAACACUAGGCUUUAAAGCAAGUAGCUCCAAACACGCCUUCAACCGGAAACUUGACCCACCGGCAGCUACAGGAUCAAGCACCCAAGGUUUUUUCGAUUGAUUCGCCACCUGUGCCGCCAAUUUCAUACCGGGUAGCCAGUCAGGAGUGAGGGUUCCGGCAUUUAUGCAAACUCCAAGGGCUUUUGGAGUAAAUUCUGGGAUUUCUUCAACGGAAUGAAUCAUCGCCGGCGAUGCACCGGCGGAUAACAGAGUAUUGGCCAUCAAAUCCAUUGAAACGAAGUUGGUUAUACAUUGAAUUAAUGGGGAUUUUUGACGAACUAAUUCGAAAUGGGUCCAUGCUUGUUUGGGCCAAUGUAAAGGGUUUUGUUGAGCUUCCUUUUGGGGUUCAAUGGUGUUAGUACUUUUGUCUUCUUCCAUAGGAGUGUAUAGGCGAGCUGAUAACUCUGUUUGGAUGAUUGGAUUAUGAAAAAGAGAGUAUAUAUCGCUAGAUUUACGGAGGUAGAGUGUUCGUAAAUUUUAACAUUAUCUCGUGAAAAUAAAUUGUUAUUUUUGAAAGUCCUUUAAUUCGAGUGCAAUAAAUUCAAGUACAAAAAUGAAGAAAAUAGUGUAGCAAUAUCAUAAUAUAACAAACUGAGACAUCAAAAGUAAGAACUAUAAUAAUACGAGGUAAUAUUAGGUACUAUAACCAAAGACUACGUGGUUAAGCUAAUACGAUAAUCGACAUGGUGCUCUAUACUAUCACCCAACUAAAUAUAUGAAAAGGCUAGUACGCAACAAUUCUUAACUACCUAUUAAUAUUCUAUCCUUACCCACGAGGCCACGACCUUCAUAUCUUUCUAUCUAAGAUCAUGUUUUCGAUAAGGAUGCACUCAUAUUUUAUCUAAUUACCUUUCUCCAAUACUUCUUCGAUUAUCUUCUACUUUUCCUCAAUCUCACUUCAGUAGUUGAGUCUCAAGAUCAAUGUUAGGAUCAAGAGUCGAGAGUUGGGCCUUAGAUCAGUAUUGGAAAUUGAUUCCCAAAAAAAGUUAUUUUUCGAAUAAGGUUGAGUCAGAAGAUAAGAUAAAAAGAAAAAAAUUGUGAAAUAUUUUAAGAAUCCUCAUGUUCCUACAAAAGUUUGACACUAUGCCACUUAGGAGAUCGAAAGUAUAUCUAAGUUUAAUUAAUUGAAAUAGUGAAAUUCUUGUAUACGUGCCUCCAUGAAACAAAGAAUCUAAAAAAGUGUAUAUAUAUAUAUAAACACUUGAAAGAUUUCCGCCAUCGCCGGCAGCACUGAUAAUUUCCAACAAAAUGCACAACCACCACCUUCAACCGCCGCCAACCACCACUUCCACCGGCGGCGCCACCGGAAGUAACAACAGUAGCAUUUGCCGGAUCACUUUUUCGACACCCUUUAUCCUCCUUAUCACCACCAUAUUCUCACUUCUCCUUAUACUUUCCCUUUCCUUUUCCCCUUCUUCUACCUCUCUUCCUCCUCACCCUAAUCCUUCCCUUUUCCCGAAUUUCCAUAACUAUCUCAACUCCCCAUCAAACCCAAAUGACCAAAAUACCCUUCCAUCCACCCCACCAACCCCACCUUCAAUUGCAUACCUCAUAUCUGGAUCCACUAAAGACUCUUCUAGAAUCCUCCGUUUGUUGUUUGCUGUGUAUCAUCCAAGAAAUCAGUAUUUACUUCAUCUUGAUAGAAAAGCUACUCAGAAGGAACGUGAUGAAUUGGCACUUGCUGUUCAAUCUGUGCCGGUUUUUAAAGCUGCACAGAAUGUAAAUGUUAUUGGGAAAGCUGAUUUUCGAUACUCGAUUGGGUCUUCUGCAUUGUCUGCUACACUUCAUGGGGCUUCCAUUCUUUUGAGACUUUCGAAUUCUUGGGAUUGGUUUAUUAAUCUCUCAGCUGCUGAUUAUCCACUCGUUACUCAAGAUGGUAUGAAAUGAAAAGAUUUAGUUUGAAAAAUUUGGCGUAGGGGGAAAUGGGGGAGGGGAUUAUAGGAUGAGGAAUCGAACCCCUCACUGGAAAAAUUCAGGUAGCCAAUCGACUAAGCUAACUGGGAUUCUUUUGAAAAAAGAUUUAGCUUUUAUAUUUGUUAGUUUUGAAUGUCUUUGUGUUAGCUACUUUGUAGGCUUUUUGAGUGUUGAAUUUCCAUCUUUUGUGAGUUUAGGAUCUUAAUUGAAAUCUUAUCUAAGAUUGGUUUGCUUUAGAGAGUAGUCGAAAAACUAUGUGAAGGCGAGCUUAUCUUUAAAAUGAACUUGGUGGACACAGUUACCGUGUAGCAAUUACCUUGUGGAAUUAGUUAAGGUACCUGCAAGCUGGACCGGACACCAUGGAUGUUAGUAAAAGAGUUAUCUUUAAAUUGACAAUUGACCGAGUUAAAGAUUUAGCUUUUAUUUGUGUUCGUUUUCGAAUUUUCUUUUGGUAGCUACUUUUUGGGAGGUGUGUUGAAUUCCAUGUUUUUUGAGUUUAGUAUCUCGAUUGAAAUCCUAUCUAAGAUUGGUUUGCUUCAAGUGAGGAGUCGAAAAACUAUGUGAAGGCAAGCUAUUUUAAAAAUGAACUUGGUGGACAUAAUUUCAUUGGUACUUGUGCAGGUUGGAGGGAGGUAGCAGGUACCUCUGGAAUUAGUCAAGGUACCUGCAAGCUUGUCCGGACACCAUGAAUAUUAGUAAUAAAGAAGUUUAUCUUUAAAUUGUCCAUUGACCAAUCUAAAGAUUUUGCUUUUAUUUGUGUUCGUUUUUUAGUUUUCUUUUGCUAGCUACUUUUUGGGCUCUGUGUGUGUGUAGAAUUCCAUGUUUUUUUGUGUUUAGUAUCACAAUUGAAAUCUUAUCUAAGAUUGAUUUUCUUCUGCAAUAUCUUUAAAAUGAACUUGGUGGACAUAGUUACACGGUAACUGUGUAAGUGGGAGGUAGCAUGUACCUUGUGGAAUUAGUUGUGGUACCUGCAAAUUGGCCUGGACACCACGGUUAUUAAUAAAAGAGUUAUCUUUAAAUUGGCCAUCGACCACUUUUGUCAUGAAGGGAUUAUUCAUGCACUUGAUGCAAUUUGUUUCUCCGAGAAGCUUGUUAGAAAUUGUAGAAGUAGUUCAUUGAUGUUGGUAACUUUUCUAUAAAUAGAAAUGUCUUACCUGAACAAGUUUGUUGGUAUUUGGGUUGGCUUCCUGUAAGAUUUUACAUCAAUGAAUUGUGUAGUUGAAAUCAUAUCUCCUUAUACCGGGCUAUCUCGUUGGUGUUUAAUGAUAACUGAUGUUUGUAAUGCAAAUUCUUGUCAUUGAACUGUGCCAUUGGUGUGUUUGGAGUGGUUGCACUACAACAUAAUCAAUCGAAUAUUUUCAUUGAAUUUAUUUCUUCCUAUACCUCGAUUUCUCUUUGUUGAUGAGUGAUGACCGAUGAUUUAUGUGGUGCAAAUUCUUGUUGAUUUUCAGAUCUUCUACACAUUUUAUCAUAUCUACCCAAGGAUCUUAAUUUUGUCAACCACUCGAGCUACAUCGGUUGGAGAGAGUAUGACUAUAUCCUUCUCCUGCUAUAUGUUUCUAUAUGUACUAACUUAUAAAAAAAAGAAGAGGUUUCUAUAUGUUGUUAUGUUUAAAGGAUAUGAACAUGUGGAUAGCACGUGCUUCUAGAGUUCACUAAUAUUGCUAUUUUGGAUUGUGUAGGUCAAAGAAGUUGAAACCAAUAGUUGUGGAUCCAGGGCUCUAUCUUGCAGAGGAAAGUGAAGUAUAUUAUGCCACUCAAAAACGGGAAUUGCCAGAUGCUUAUCGAUUAUUCACAGGUGAGGAUGCCGGUUAUCGUUUUAUUUGCUUCAUUAGGUAUUGAAUUUGUGAAUAACGUUUGUGCUCUUUUUCCUGUGAUUGAGAAAAAAUAUUUUCUUGAUAAGGAGGGACAACUAUAACGCUGAGAACAAGGAACUCUUUUAUUAAAGAGAAAGGAGUAAGGACUAAACUAGAAAAUAAAAUUUAAACAGAAAUAUUAUGCAGUAUGAAAAUAAGCAAAGUAUGAUAUACAUGGACACUAACUGGAAAAGGUGUACCACUUGUGAUGAUGCCAUUGUUCCUCUCACUUCACUUUUAUCUUCUCUUUUAAAUCAGAAAAAAAAAUCCAAAUAUCAUCAACAAUCCAACUAAAUAUCAUCAACAACCAACCUAACUGCUUCCCUCAAUUCCUAUUUCUUCCAUUGUUUUCCUCAUCUGACAUCCAAUCCUUCAUCAUCCUCUCGAAGUACAUUUAACGUUAUGUUAUGUCAUUUAAAAACCAAAUCUAUUGCCACAAGAACUAUGGUUAUUGUGAGGGGAAGAGGGGUUGGGUGUGGGGCAUCCCAGAGGUGGUUUCAGAAGGAUAUGUUAACUGGAGAUGUUUAGGCGCAGAGAAAAUUACUAGUCUUUCACUUAUCAAAGAAAAAGAGGAGUCUUUGACAACGGAAACCAGGGUUCAAAUUCAGUGGAGACCAAAAAAUAAGUUGAUUUCCUUACAUUUAAUGAAGCUUUGAUGGGUAAAUGUACCCGAUACUCAUGGUGGAGAUGCGUAUAAGCUGAUUCGGACACCAUUGUUAUCUUACAAAAAGAGCUUUUGACAAAAUUCUAGGGAUUCCGUUGAAGGUUUCUAAGUGAAAAUGACAAAUCUAUAAUCCGGAACUGAAAGAGAUUAGAAAGUUAAGGAGGCAAUUAGUUUGAGGCAAGUAGAACGUUCUGCACGGUUUCAGAUCCUUCAUCCAUUCUUUUUUUUUUUUGACGAGGAAAUAAACCCUUCAUCCAUUCAUUUAUCAAUCUUAUAACAUUAAGAAGCAAGGAAACCAUCUUCUCCGUACGGUUUUCCGUUACAUUUUAGGCUCUAAACGCUUUUGCAUUUCUAUCCAGCCAAAAUCGCCAAGAGGUCUUGAAUGAAGCAAAUACAGUUUAGAAUCCUCAUAGAGCAGUAACCAUAGUGGAAGUACUUAAUUAGAUGAAGCAGGGAUGAGAAAAUCUCUAAACCUCUAUCUAGGAAGCAUCACCACAACCUGAUGAGAAAUGCAAUGCAUAGUCAGGUUGUCCUUGAUUCUUGCCUUUGUACUACGUAUAUAGAAGACUAAUUUUACUUUGAAUUUUUUAACUUAUUUAGUCUCCGGAUCUGUUGCAGAUCAUUCAUGUAAGUGUUCCAAGAGUCUGUUACUUAAGUCUUUACCUUGUAAAUGAAUGAUUUUCAGUUGAACUCUAGCUUUUGGAUGAGUAUAUAAGGAAAGGGAUUGUCUUGAAACAAUUUCUUGGAAAUAUGCAUGCACCAUGUAAUCAUAAAAUGAUUUCUAGGGGAAGUAAUUUAGUAAAAACCGCUCUUGGUAUGAUCUUUCAGUAAAUGUAAUGAAAGCAUAUUUGAUACGUUACUGAGACAAAGCCACAUGACACAACUUAGUUUAUCAAGUAUAAACAACAAUAACAACAAACCCAGUGUAAUCCCACAGGUGGGAUCUGGGGCGGGUCGAGUGUACACAGAUCUUACCCCUCCUACCUUGAGAAGGUAGACAGGCAAGUUUAUCAAGUAUCAAAACUAUAAGUUUUUUUGCAUUUUAAAGGAGGAACAAGCUACUCUGACUUUGUCUAACUUCUUUUUUUAUAGGAAACUAAAUACUUACUCCAAUUGUGAUUACAUUCAUCAGCAACCCUGCGUUAUUAUUCUAUUUCCGUUCCAUCACUUCUCUUCAUCGGGCAGUCAACCCUUCAUCCUUUUCUCUCAGUCCAGUUGACACCUGACAUUAUGUAUUGGUUCAUUUGAAACCCAACUCUAUUGCAACAAUCACACCAUCCUUGCUAAGUACAACUAGCAAGUUAACAUUAUCCUUCAGUAUCAGUUGAAAUAUAAUGAAAUCCAUCUUGAAGAAAUUCCUAACCUCCAACGGCUUAAAAUUUGAAACUUGUGCCUCAACUUCUUUCUCCACCAUUUCAAUUUGUCCAGCCUUCUCUGCAGUUCAUCGGCUGCCUAUUUUGGCCCUGGAGGAGGGUGAAAAAGUAAAUUUUCUUUCUUUUCAGAGCUAAUGGGUUUUUAAUUUCGAUGAAUAUUGACGUAUAAAGUUGUCCCUUUCAUCUCUAUGAUGUGGUUGAAAUAUAAUUAGCGUGAUCAAUACUAAACGCCACCGCUUAGUUGCUUAAAAUGAUGAAACAGUGCAAAACAAGGGGUUAUCACUUCAGUUUGAAGCCAUGAGCUUUAGAGAAGUAUGUGCGUCAAACAAAGACGCGCAAAGUAAAUCCAAAUAGAAGCGGUUGGUUCUUUGAAUCUUGAACUUGAGCAGUUGGACUAAUUAUUGUUUAUUUGAUGCUGAAGUUAGUUAUUCUCAUAUGUUUGGCAAUUUUUUAAUUUUUCUUAAAUUGUGCGUUUCACUUCAUGUUUUUCAUUUCAAGCCCUGCAGACUCUGUGUCUCUUUUGGAUUUUUCGUUUUUGAAAACAUCUUUUCAGAGAGGUGGUUUUUGCAUUGCCAAGACCCCUCAUAAAUGAUGGGCUCUGUUUUCACGAGAUACUCUUCCUAUUUGUCUCGUAUUAUUGUCUAGAAACGUUGUAAAGCAGGACAUUUAAAACCAGCCAAUUUGUUAUAAAAUAGCAGGUUUUGCAUGAGUUUCAUACUAUGACCAACUAAUUUGUUCUUACUGCAGGGUCAUCAUCUGCUAUUUUGAGUCGGAAGUUUACCGAGUUCUGCAUCUUAGGCUCGGAUAACCUCCCUAGAACUCUGUUAAUGUACUUGUCAAACUCACCAUCUUCAGAAUCUGUAUAUUUUCCAACCGUUUUGUGCAAUUCACGGAAAUUCAAUGGGACAACAAUCAACCACAACAUGCAGUAUGCUUCUUUUAACUCCAGAUCACAAGUUCGCCGGCUCAACUCAAGUGACUUCAAUGACCUGGUGAUGAGUGGAGCAGCCUUUGCUUCCCCAUUUAAGGCAGGCGAUCCGGUUCUUGAUAAGAUCGACCAUGAACUUCUCCACCACAAUCGUGACGAACCAGUGCCAGGCGGGUGGUGUUUAGGUGACACUGAAACUAACAAAUGUACCGUUUGGGGAGAUGCCGAAAUCAUAAGACCGGGUUUCGGAGCAAAGAGACUCGAGAAACAUUUUCUUGAGCUUUUCUCUAACGGAUCAUAUUUGUCUGAUCAAUGUCAAUAUGAGAAGACCUCCUCCUCCAGAUGAUUAACAUCUAAGUUGCACAAACUCUUCACUUUCGAUGCUGCACCUGUGUUGGAUUCUUAAAAAAUACCCUACUUUUGGAGAAUCCGACAUGUACUCGUUGACAUUUUUGAAGAGUUCGAGCAAUAUAGAUUAACAUAGCAAAGGGAGAGACAAAGAGAUGAAUACACUAUCAACUUAGACAGAAGAUAUAACACGAGGUACUCAUCAAACCACUUGAAAUAGUACUAAAUUUUAGUGUCAGCUAGCCAAUUCUUUCAUUGGAAGCCUAUUGUUGUAUAAGUCCUUUUGAAAGUUAUCUUUUCCAUCCGGUGCCCGCUCUGCGUAAAAAAAAAACUUCGUCUUUGAUCUCUCUUUCGCAAUACAUUUUAAGGGUUAAAACUUUGUUGAAUUGGGCAAGCCCUGCUGAGGAAUCUUAAUGUAAUUGUUUGCCAUUGCAAUGGAAGAUCAUUGUAAUCACUUGAUGUUAAUAUUGUACUCAUUUUUUCCCUCUCCUCGAGGCACACGUAGACUCUUUUUUUUUUUUUACGAAAACAUUAUUAUGUCUGAAUAUGAAUACAUGUUUGAGUAUUAAGAUGUUGUCUCUGAAUUUGAAUGCUAGAUAAUUAAAAUUGUGUUUCUCAACAUCUCAAAUUGAAUACAUAUUAUGAUGAUUGUGGGUUGAUGGUUGGUGGUGAACAUAGUUAACAGUAGAGCUUGUCUAGUGGUGGUUGCUGGGCUGUAGUGGCUGGUGAUAGAGGUGGCCGGUGGUGGAGGUGGUAGUUAGCAACGGAAAUGGUUAGUGGUGAUAGUUGGAAGUGAUGGCGGUGGUGGGCGUGUGAGGUAUGAGUCGAAGUGAUUGAUGGUGAUGGUGAUGUUCUAAUCUCAUGUUAUUCAACCCUAAACUCUAGCUCGUACUAUUCACUAAUAUAAAAGAGUGUAUUUUCUUUAAGAGACAUCUUGAAAAUCUCAUAAAUUCAUGGAAUAUUUACAAAGAAAUCAGAACAAUGAACAUCAAAUGUUGUUAUUCUCAAAACCAAAGAGAUCAAGAUCAGAUGUUCUCCAUCUAGAUAUCAACUCGAAAUAUUGAAGUAUUGUCCAACAUUUUUGGCGUUCAAAUACAUCAUGAGGAUGUCUACGAGCCCGUUCGGAUUGACUUAAAAAAAGUAACUUUUAAGUAAAAAAAAAAAAAAAAACUAAAAUGACUUUUAAGUCAAAAAAAAAAAGUAAGGGGAGACCUACUUUUGGUUUUUGACUUAUUUUAAGUCAUUUUUAACUUAUUUUAAGUCAUUUUAAACCUUGUCAAACACUUCUUAACUUAUUUAAGUCAUUUUUGACUUAUUUUAAGUUUUUUUUUAUAUUUGUCAAACACUUUCAAAAAUAAAAAACUAAUUUAAAAAUAAGUUUGACAAACUUUUAAGACUAUCCAACUGAGCUUUACAUCAUUCUAACUUCAAGAAAUAUACUAUUAAUUAACCUCGAAGGACGGGGAAAUACAUCAUUCUAACUUCAAGAAAUAUACUAGAUUAAUUAACCUCGAAGGACGGGGAAAUUUAGGAGAGAAAAAUUAAAUAAAUACACAGAAUUGUUACUAGACUAUUUCUUUUAUGAAAAGAUAUUAUGAUUGAUUGAUUUGAUGUGUAUUUUAAGUCACAAAGACAAAACUACUUUUAUUCAACUUGAAAUAAAAUAAAGAACACAUAACAUGACUUUUUUCUAAAGUUUGCAUGUGAUAUCUCACAUGCAAAAUGGGAGAGUAGUUGCAAACAUCUAACAACUAAUCAUACAAUUUUUUAAACAUGGGUAGGCCCUAGUAACACCCAAAUUUGCUCCACUUAUAUUUUAUGUCCAAUUAAUAAAAUCGUCGGAUCAUUUUUAUAACAGUCAUUUUUUAUAAUAAUAUUUCUUUUAAUUAUAAUAUAAUUUAGUCUUUUCUUGAGAAUCGACUUUUAUAUUAUGUUAUAUUUCAUAUAUAUCCUAUAUAAUAACAUUUUGACGUAGCAGUUAAAAAAUAUAUUAAUAAACGACACUAUUAUAAAGAGAUUUUACUAUAUAAUCUCAAAGACGAUGUGACUUCAAUUUUAAUCAUUCAUCAUUUCUUUAAAUCUUGUGUUGAUUAAUUUUUUUAUUACGACUUUUGAACUCUUCCUUCAUUAAACACACACAUACACAAAAAAAAUAAAAAAAUAUCACAUGUAUUGUCGGAAUAGUCAAAGAUUUUUUCAAGUAACUUAUUAUAUAAAUAAAUUAAUAACAAUCGUGUCACUCUCUUAUUGGACAGAUUAACUAAUCAAUUCCAUGAUUUGCUUAAGCAGCCUGCGUUGGCUAAUAAUGUAAAAUACAUGGGGCUGUUUGAUCGGUGGAAUAAAAAAAAUAAUUUCAAGAUACUUUAUUAUGUAUUUGAUUUUAAAUUUUAUUUGACUUCAAAAUUAUUUUAUUUCACUAUAUUAGUAUAAAUUAUUUCAUAUAAAAAAUAAAAUAAAAUAAUUUCAUGAGAUAUUUUUAUCUAUGUCCCAUUUUCCUGAUCACAUAACCUCAUAGUGUUAUGACAAUAAUAAUAAUAAUAAUCAAGUUUUAAUUAUUUAUAUUUGUAUCCUACAUUGGAAAACAACAUGUAAAUAUUCUAUUCUAUGAUAAAUAAAUAUAAAAUAAAAUAAAAUAUAGUGGUAAGUAUAUAGUCCUUGUCAAGUUCAUGAAAUAUUGGGCGUACUUUCACUAGCACUAUUUUUGGUCAUGUUGAGUUGACACAGACCAAUAGUACCUAAAUAUAAUUGACCACAAAGGGAUACCUACUUGUUGAAAUAAAUAAAUAAAUAAAUACAAAUGAAAAAAAUAUAUGCGUAUAUAAUUUACGUGAUUUUAGAUAGGAGGUUGUAAAAGCUAUUCCAUGAAUUAAAGUAGUUAAUAGUGUGUUGUUUUUCAAUAUAUAUUUAUACUAGUAGUUGUAUUAUUUCUGUAGUUUCUUAUUUGUUGUUUUCGUAUUUUGCUUAAGUAUUGCAUACACUCUAUCAGACAUUAGACCUUUCUUCGUAAAACUUAAGCACAUUUUAAAGUAUGAUCAGUAGUGACUUAUAUAACAUUUUUCUUUAAGUCGAGAUUUAAAACAACCUCUCUACUUCAAUAAUUUUGUAGGAUAAAAUCUACGUAUAUCUUGAUUCUUUCAAGUCCCAUCUAUGAGAUUACACUGAACAUGUGUUUUUUGUGUGGUAAUGACUCACAUAUAAAUAUUUUUCCCUUUUAAUGAAUCUUAUACGAGGUGAAUUAAAUUAGUCGAGACACAAAAUGAAAAUUCAGUACCAAGUAAAAAAAAAAAAAAAAAGCAAGUGAGAUAAGCAGGGUAUCAUUUCUACGACAAACGUAAAAGGAAAGAAAAUUAAAAAAAACAGAUGAAAAAUCAACAUCCUCUUGUUGCCUCCAACUUGCCAAUUUGCUAUUCAAUAAUAAACCUUGGCCUUUUAUUAGUGACAAUAAUUAUUAUUUUUAUUUGUUUUCGUUUUCAUAUUUAAGUCUGACUAAUCUGAAUUCACACAAAAUAAAACUCAUUUAUGAAUGAAGUUUUCUAUUAAAGAUUUUUUUCAUAUCUCAAAACUUAAACUCGAAAAUUCUAAUUAAAUAACGAGUCCCAUCAACCACACACCACGUUCUUUGGUAUUAUUGGUAACAAUAAUUAUUCUUUUGAUUUUUUAUCUGGUGUUUGAUAUAUUCGACUAAUUUAAACUCGCACGAGAUACAAUCCAUUAAAAAAUAACGUUUCCUAUCAAAUAUCUUUUAAUAUCUGAAGCUCAAAAUUCAAUCCUCUAUUUAAUAAAGAAAUCUUAUUCACUGCACCAUAUUCUUCGAUAUUAUCGUAACAAUAAUAACACCAACAAGAAAGAGAGAGGAAAGAGAAUCUCUCUUUCUUCCUACCCACAAUUAUUUCUCCCAAAUUUCUCUCUGUCUCUCUUAACAAAUUCAAACCAAACACAGCCAAAAUAAAACCAAAAACUUGUUGAAAAUUCUAUAGAAAAAAAAUUUCUUUCUUUUUUUUUAAAAAGAAUUUUAUGAAAAUGGAAGCUAUGUACUCAAAAACUUGUUUUAUGGUAGAUGAUGAUAUUCUUAAUUUCUCUUUAGAUGAUGAUGAAAAAUAUCAAACUUCUUCUUCUUCUUUUGAAUCAUCAAGCACCCUUGGAUUUCAUCAAGAUGAUCAUAGCCCUUCAUUUCCUGUAAGUAAUUUGAUUGAUUUUUUUUUCCAUUAGAAUGGCAUUUUCGUGAAUAAACAUGUAAAGAGGGGGGGGGGGGGAAUUUUUUUUGGGUGGGGGANNNNNNNNNNNNNNNNNNNNNNNNNNNNNNNNNNNNNNNNNNNNNNNNNNNNNNNNNNNNNNNNNNNNNNNNNNNNNNNNNNNNNNNNNNNNNNNNNNNNNNNNNNNNNNNNNNNNNNNNNNNNNNNNNNNNNNNNNNNNNNNNNNNNNNNNNNNNNNNNNNNNNNNNNNNNNNNNNNNNNNNNNNNNNNNNNNNNNNNNNNNNNGGGGGGGGGGGGUAAUUUUGUUGGGUGAGGGAAUAAGAUACCAUGUUUGGACGAUUUUACCCUUGAAACCAAAUGAGUUGUUUGAUGCCUGGAAUAAGGAUAAUAAUUUUGAAAUAAAUUUAUGAUUAACUUUAUGUCGUGUUUUGUUUGAGGUGUUAGCUAAUUCAAGAUUAAUUUAUCUUGCUAUUUGAUAAAAUAAUGUGAUUACUAUUUCAUAUCGACAUAUUCUACGCUUGAAAUAUCCUUAUUUAUUCCAUUUCACAUGCCAGGGGACCCUAAAAAGGAUUCAUGGCUUGUUUUAGAAAUUCACAUAAUACUUUUUUAUGAUUACAAUGAAAAAA
RNAcentral lists this long non-coding RNA (13195 nucleotides) under Solanum tuberosum (potato). Its description in RNAcentral is "long non-coding RNA (STUB_LNC005990)". Lineage: Eukaryota; Viridiplantae; Streptophyta; Magnoliopsida; Solanales; Solanaceae. The record is from RNAcentral.